This 70-nucleotide transfer RNA is filed under the name Dasycercus cristicauda (Crest-tailed Mulgara). RNAcentral's name for it is "tRNA-Trp". Lineage: Eukaryota; Metazoa; Chordata; Mammalia; Dasyuromorphia; Dasyuridae. The record is from RNAcentral.
UGUUUAACCACCUAGCCUUUGAAAGGCUUAGGUUCAACCUAGACCAAAGGCCUUCAAAGCCUUAAGCAGG